Molecule: ribosomal RNA, 478 nt
Filed under: uncultured bacterium
Lineage: Bacteria
Description: partial 16S ribosomal RNA
Rfam family: Bacterial small subunit ribosomal RNA
Source: RNAcentral
GACGAACGCUGGCGGCGUGCUUAACACAUGCAAGUCGAACGGUAAGGCCCUUCGGGGUACACGAGUGGCGAACGGGUGAGUAACACGUGGGUGAUCUGCCCUGCACUUCGGGAUAAGCCUGGGAAACUGGGUCUAAUACCGGAUAGGACUCCUGGCUUCAUGGUUGGGGGUGGAAAGCUUUUGCGGUGUGGGAUGGGCCCGCGGCCUAUCAGUUUGUGGGUGGGGUAAUGGACUACCAAGGCGACGACGGGUAGCCGGCCUGAGAGGGUGACCGGUCACACUGGGACUGAGAUACGGCCCAGACUCAUACGGGAGGCAGCAGUGGGGAAUAUUGCACAAUGGGCGCAAGCCUGAUGCAGCGACGCCGCGUGAGGGAUGACGGCCUUCGGGUUGUAAACCUCUUUCAGCUAUGACGAAGCGCAAGUGACGGUAGUAGCAGAAGAAGGACCGGCCAACUACGUGCCAGCAGCCGCCGUAA